GCAAUGGUGGUUCAGUGGUAGAAUUCUUGCCUUACAUACAGGAGACGUGGGUUCGAUUCCAGCCAACGCG
Molecule: transfer RNA, 70 nt
Filed under: Loxodonta africana (African savanna elephant)
Lineage: Eukaryota; Metazoa; Chordata; Mammalia; Proboscidea; Elephantidae
Rfam family: tRNA
About the family: Transfer RNA (tRNA) molecules are approximately 80 nucleotides in length.
Source: Rfam by way of RNAcentral